This 1222-nucleotide long non-coding RNA is filed under the name Heterocephalus glaber (naked mole-rat). RNAcentral's name for it is "lncRNA (ENSHGLG00000050557.1)". Lineage: Eukaryota; Metazoa; Chordata; Mammalia; Rodentia; Bathyergidae. The record is from RNAcentral.
GCUAAUUAUUCCCUGCUGCCUGGCAAAGCCCUUCUGAGUUCUCUACCAGUUCCCAUGAAUUUGGGGUUUUCCUGUCUGCCUAGGGGACAGGUUACUCCCAUCCAGAUGUGAGCCCAACUCCCACUCAUUCCCUGUAAUUCUUUCCCACUCUUAGUCCGGUGGAGUUUGCACAGGCACGUACCGAUCUCCGGGCCACAAGUUCUCCAGGGCCUCACUGCCACACUUUCCUCUAGCUGCUCCAUCUUCACAGGCUAGAAACUUCUCUCACCUCACCCUUCCAACACCCAAUUCCAGCUUCCCAGAGGGGGAAAAAAACCCUUCAAAUAUGCCUGGGCUUCCUGAGUCUGUGUUUGGAUUCUUCCAGCAGCUCUGGAAAGUUAUCAGAUAAGUAUCUCUUCAAAUAUCAACCUCUCAGGCAGGAAUGGUGUCAUGCACCUGUCACCCUACCACUGGGGAGGCUGAGGCAGGAAAAGCACUUGGACCUGGGAGUUUGAAGCCAGCCUGGACAACACAGAAAGAUUCCUUUCUAAAAAAUUAUUCUCCCCAUUCUCAUUUUGUCCAAUUCUCUCUGUUUUAUACGUGUAUUUUACUCUCCUUUUAUUAUCUUAUUAUCUUUUUUUUUUUUUUGCACCAGGGAUCAAACUCAGGACCUUGCGCUUGUGAGGCAGGCACCAGAACCACUGAGCUAAAUCCCCGCCUUAUUAUCUUUUUUUAACUUCUAUUCUGGACAAUUUAUUCUUAUCUAUCUUCUAAUUUCUGAACAUUUUGUGUUUGUUUGUUUUGUUUUGUUUUUCUUUUUGUUUGCAGUAAUGGGAUUGAAUUUAGGGCCUUUGCACUGGGCUCCAUCCUCUCUCACGCCUUUAUUUUUUGAGACAGGGUCUCCCUAAAUUGCUCAGGCUGGGCUGAAACUUGUGAUCCUCCUGCCUCAGCCUUCCAGGGUGCUGGGAUAACAGGUGUGUGUGUGUGUGUGUGUGUGCGCGCGCCACAUUAAAAUCUAUAUGUUGAGUUUUAAAUGGUGGUUACUAUGUUUUCAUUUUGGAAAUUUCAUUCUGUCUUUUUGAAAUCUACUACAUAAUGUCAUAAACUCUAUCUGGCUCCCUGCAAAUAUUAAACUUGCCUCCUUAGGUUUUUUUUUUUUUAAAUAAUGUGUAACUUUAUUAUCAUUCACUAAACACACACAUAUACAAAACUUAAAAUUAUUCAAAGAACAGCAAUGCAAGGG